RNAcentral lists this ribosomal RNA (301 nucleotides) under uncultured bacterium. Its description in RNAcentral is "partial 16S ribosomal RNA". It matches the Rfam family "Bacterial small subunit ribosomal RNA", at positions 509 to 807 of the family's 1533-position model. The record is from RNAcentral.
CAGUAGCCGCGGUAAUACGUAGGUGGCAAGCGUUGCCCGGAAUUAUUGGGCGUAAAGCGCGCGCAGGUGGUUUAAUAAGUCUGAUGUGAAAGCCCACGGCUCAACCGUGGAGGGUCAUUGGAAACUGUUAAACUUGAGUGCAGGAGAGAAAAGUGGAAUUCCUAGUGUAGCGGUGAAAUGCGUAGAGAUUAGGAGGAACACCAGUGGCGAAGGCGGCUUUUUGGCCUGUAACUGACACUGAGGCGCGAAAGCGUGGGGAGCAAACAGGAUUAGAUACCCCCGUAGUCCCUGUCUCUUAUAC